Molecule: transfer RNA, 69 nt
Filed under: Rugosimonospora africana
Lineage: Bacteria; Bacillati; Actinomycetota; Actinomycetes; Micromonosporales; Micromonosporaceae
Description: tRNA-Ser
Source: RNAcentral
GCUGGUGUGGGCCGGACGUUUCGCGGUGCUGCUGCUGCCGCCGCUAGCGUUCUACGCGGUAAACCGGCU